AUAAGAUAUUGGAAGUGGAUAUUCGUCCGACAUUUCCAUAAUCAUUAAACUCGUUAAAUAUAAAACUGCGUAAAUUUAACUGAAAUUCAAGCGAUUCCUCCGUGGUGUUGUGGUUUAGGCACCCGUAUUGUGUGCGCCGAGUUCUGGGAUCGAUUCCUGCUAGUGCCACAAUUUUAUUAUUAUUUUUUAUACUUUUUUUUUUCUUCAUGAUUUUCGCGUACGAAACCGUCGAAACGUAUAGCGUAUAUAAUAAUAUGUUGUUGCUUCGUUCUUAAGAAACAACGCAAGCAUUUAGUGGUUUAGUGUUAGCUUUUAAAGCGUUGUCGGAUUAAUAGCCGUGAAGCAAGAAGAUCCGGUGUCGGACGAAUAUCCACGGGGUAAUAUAUUUACGUCUUUCAAUGAGCACUGUUUAGCCUAGUACUGUGUUUAUACCACAUUUAUAAAUUUUAUAAACAGCUUUCGUU
This 464-nucleotide long non-coding RNA is filed under the name Paramuricea clavata. The record is from RNAcentral. Lineage: Eukaryota; Metazoa; Cnidaria; Anthozoa; Malacalcyonacea; Plexauridae.